CUAUGGUGGUAAAUACAGAGAUGUCCACACCCUAGAACAACAUAUGAUCAGUGUCCUCUCCAUAGUCACUGAGCACAUAGGUCCUCAUCAUGGGAUGGAGCUGGAUCAUCCUCUUCCUCCUGUCAGUAACUACAGGUGUCCACUCCCAGGUCCAGCUGCAGCAGUCUGGUCCUGGACUGGGAAAACCUGGUUCCUCAGUGAAGUUGACUUGCAAGGCUUCUGGCUAUGCCUUCACUGACUAUGAAAUGAACUGGGUGAAACAGAGUCCUAGACAGGGCCUGGAGUGGAUUGGAGCUAUUAAUCCUGGAAAUGGUGGUACUGCCUACAAUCAGAAGUUCAAGGGCAAGGCCACACUGACUGUAGACACAUCCAUCAGCACAGCUUACAUGGAUCUCAGCAGCCUGACCUCUGAGGACUCUGCGGUCUAUUACUGUGCAAGACACACAGUGUUACAACCCACAUCCUGA
This is a non-coding RNA of Peromyscus leucopus (white-footed mouse), 467 nucleotides long. Lineage: Eukaryota; Metazoa; Chordata; Mammalia; Rodentia; Cricetidae. The record is from the annotation of a RefSeq genome assembly.